UUAUUCGCUCGCUCUAGAUUUUUCAUUUUUAUCCUUCGCCUGGAACCUUUUCCUCCUCCGCUGAAAGAUCACCGAAUCGAAGAUCAUCGAGGACCGUCAGACGAGGUGCUUCGGAUUCGUUACCAGCAACAUGCGAAUGCGAUCCAAGGAGGCCAGAACCUUGAUUUGAGGUGUUUUUCUAUGAUGUUUAGUGUUCUGCGAUGUAAAUGAUAGAGGGGCUUUGCAUGUAUCAGACAUCUGGUCUUUUUGGUUGUGCCCUUGCUCAUUUUGCUCAUUUUGGUGUGAUGGACUUGCGGUGGUUCCCACGUAUUUACCAUAGGGUAAUCACUUUUUCAUCAUGUCAGGUGACCAUGGGAACAACAUGGGAGGCAACCUCACCACUAGCUUUACAGAUCACGAUGACCGAUUUGCACAUUUACACCUUUUGUAAUUAUUAAAGAAUUCGCACUGCCAGACAAAUAAUUUAAUUAGUGGAUAUCGACUGUUUUGUCACUGAAUCAGGAAUUUUUUUUUUCCCGGAAGUAACUGCCUGCCAGUGCUGCAGCUUAAUGCAAUUGAUCUUUACCAGAUGAAACUUUAGGAUGAAGAAGCUGAGUCCGUGGAACUUAAGUCAAAUUUCUUCAUUCUUUCCGGGGAAAAUGUUCUGUAAUGUUUCUCUUUCUUCGUCUGUCAUGGUUCAACGUAUUGGACCAAUAAGGCAAUGGGCUUAAAUAUCCGGGGUUCCUAUUUAGACGGGCCCCAUAUUAUUCCAACAACUAAUAUUGCAGGGAGGCUAGAAUGCAAGAAUUCUAUAGUGAGGGCCUUAUAUAUGGCCUUUAGGUAAGGUCCUAUCUCUUCACGAUCCAACGGUUAAGAGAUAGGAACUCACCCAAGGUAUAAGGUCUUCACUAUAGAAUUUUUGCAACAUAGCCCCUCAUUAUAGAAGCUCCCGUAAUAU
Non-coding RNA from Prunus avium (sweet cherry), 937 nucleotides. The record is from RefSeq and is a predicted model, not a curated record. NCBI's taxonomy places the organism in Eukaryota, Viridiplantae, Streptophyta, Magnoliopsida, Rosales, Rosaceae.